RNAcentral lists this ribosomal RNA (509 nucleotides) under Scaptomyza boninensis. RNAcentral's name for it is "partial 16S ribosomal RNA". It matches the Rfam family "Bacterial large subunit ribosomal RNA", at positions 1825 to 2597 of the family's 2925-position model. The record is from RNAcentral. Lineage: Eukaryota; Metazoa; Arthropoda; Insecta; Diptera; Drosophilidae.
GUCUUUUUGAAAUAAAUUUAAAGUCUAACCUGCCCACUGAAAUUUUAAAUGGCCGCAGUAUUCUAACUGUGCAAAGGUAGCAUAAUCAUUAGUCUUUUAAUUGAAGGCUGGAAUGAAUGGUUGGACGAAAUAUUAACUGUUUCAUUUAAAUUUUUUAUAGAAUUUUAUUUUUUAGUCAAAAAGCUAAAAUUUUUUUAAAAGACGAGAAGACCCUAUAAAUCUUUAUAUUUUGUUUAUUUUAAUUAUAAAGAUUAUUUUUGUUAUAAUAAUUAAAAAUAUUUUAUUGGGGUGAUAUUAAAAUUUAAAAAACUUUUAAUUUUAAAAUUCAUUAAUUUAUGUUUAAUUGAUCCAUUAAUAAUGAUUAAAAAUUUAAGUUACUUUAGGGAUAACAGCGUAAUUUUUUUGGAGAGUUCAUAUCGAUAAAAAAGAUUGCGACCUCGAUGUUGGAUUAAGAUAUAAUUUUGGGUGUAGCCGUUCAAAUUUUAAGUCUGUUCGACUUUUAAAUUCUU